CCUACGGGUGGCAGCAGUGGGGAAUAUUGGACAAUGGGGGCAACCCUGAUCCAGCCAUGCCGCGUGUGUGAAGAAGGCCCCCGGAUUGUAAAGCACUUUCAGUGAGGAAGAACGCCUGGUGGUUAAUACCCAUCAGGAAAGACAUCACUCACAGAAGAAGCACCGGCUAACUCCGUGCCAGCAGCCGCGGUAAUACGGAGGGUGCGAGCGUUAAUCGGAAUUACUGGGCGUAAAGCGCGCGUAGGUGGCUUGAUAAGCCGGUUGUGAAAGCCCCGGGCUCAACCUGGGAACGGCAUCCGGAACUGUCAAGCUAGAGUGCAGGAGAGGAAGGUAGAAUUCCCGGUGUAGCGGUGAAAUGCGUAGAGAUCGGGAGGAAUACCAGUGGCGAAGGCGGCCUUCUGGACUGACACUGACACUGAGGUGCGAAAGCGUGGGUAGCAAACAGGAUUAGAUACCCUAGUAGUC
Molecule: ribosomal RNA, 465 nt
Filed under: Vreelandella stevensii
Lineage: Bacteria; Pseudomonadati; Pseudomonadota; Gammaproteobacteria; Oceanospirillales; Halomonadaceae
Description: partial 16S ribosomal RNA
Rfam family: Bacterial small subunit ribosomal RNA
Source: RNAcentral